UGGGGAAUUUUGGACAAUGGGGGCAACCCUGAUCCAGCCAUCCCGCGUGUGCGAUGAAGGCCUUCGGGUUGUAAAGCACUUUUGGCAGGGAAGAAACGGCGCUGGUUAAUACCUGGCGCACCUGACGGUACCUGCAGAAUAAGCACCGGCUAACUACGUGCCAGCAGCCGCGGUAAUACGUAGGGUGCAAGCGUUAAUCGGAAUUACUGGGCGUAAAGCGUGCGCAGGCGGUUCGGCAAGAAGGAUGUGAAAUCCCAGGGCUUAACCUUGGAACUGCAUUCUUAACUGGCGGGCUAGAGUAUGUCAGAGGGGGGUAGAAUUCCACGUGUAGCAGUGAAAUGCGUAGAGAUGUGGAGGAAUACCGAUGGCGAAGGCAGCCCCCUGGGAUAAUACUGACGCUCAUGCACGAAAGCGUGGGGAGCAAACAGG
RNAcentral lists this ribosomal RNA (429 nucleotides) under Bacillota bacterium. RNAcentral describes it as "Firmicutes bacterium partial 16S ribosomal RNA". It matches the Rfam family "Bacterial small subunit ribosomal RNA", at positions 355 to 776 of the family's 1533-position model. The record is from RNAcentral. Lineage: Bacteria; Bacillati; Bacillota.